CCUACGGGGGGCAGCAGUGGGGAAUAUUGCACAAUGGGGGGAACCCUGAUGCAGCGACGCCGCGUGAGUGAAGAAGUAUUUCGGUAUGUAAAGCUCUAUCAGCAGGGAAGAAAAUGACGGUACCUGUCUAAGAAGCCCCGGCUAACUACGUGCCAGCAGCCGCGGUAAUACGUAGGGGGCAAGCGUUAUCCGGAUUUACUGGGUGUAAAGGGAGCGCAGACGGCUGUGCAAGUCUGGAGUGAAAGGGGGGGGCCCAACCCCCGGACUGCUCUGGAAACUGUAAAGCUGGAGUGCAGGAGAGGUAAGCGGAAUACCUAGUGUAGCGGUGAAAUGCGUAGAUAUUAGGAGGAACACCAGUGGCGAAGGCGGCUUACUGGACUGCAACUGACGUUGAGGCUCGAAAGCGUGGGGAGCAAACAGGAUUAGAUACCCGAGUAGUC
Molecule: ribosomal RNA, 440 nt
Filed under: uncultured bacterium
Lineage: Bacteria
Description: partial 16S ribosomal RNA
Rfam family: Bacterial small subunit ribosomal RNA
Source: RNAcentral